Molecule: long non-coding RNA, 345 nt
Organism: Suricata suricatta (meerkat)
Lineage: Eukaryota; Metazoa; Chordata; Mammalia; Carnivora; Herpestidae
Exons: 3
Source: RefSeq, a predicted model, not a curated record
CAUGCUUCUGGACUCGCAGUCAAAUGUCCUCGUGAGCCAGUUAUCUUCUUUAUCUCGGCCUCAGCAUUCACAGCUGGACAGCUUUUGGUGAAGAAUGAUUCUCCUUAUUGCAGUGUGUCCCUUCCGCCUUGGCAAAGACCCAGCGCAUUCUUCCACCUGAUAGUUUGAUGAAAAACCAAGAGACCCUUGUUGAAGGUCGACGGCACGAAGUUUUGAGUACGAGGUGGCAGGCCCUAUUGUCUGGGAGUUUUUCAAAGAAGAUGGUGAAGGAUUGGCGAGACUGGAAGAUGACCCUUCAGGUUUCACUGCAGAGAAACAGAUGGGCAGAAAAACAUCAAGAACCAA